AGGGAAUCAUCAUCCAACUUGUUAUUAUUACCAGAAAGUGUGGAAGGAAAACGUUUGAUUUCAAAAGAGAUUUUGAGUAACAGAGGAUUGACUCGACAUCGCAACAAGGACAAAAAGAACCCCAGAAAGAACUACAGGGACAAGUACACUGACAAAGUCAAGAGACGUGGAGGUCAAGUCAGAGAAAUCAGGAAACCUUCUGGUCCAUAUGGAGGAGAAGGUUUAGGUAUCAA
This is a long non-coding RNA of Brassica oleracea var. oleracea, 233 nucleotides long. RefSeq lists it as uncharacterized. The transcript is spliced from 3 exons. The record is from RefSeq and is a predicted model, not a curated record. Lineage: Eukaryota; Viridiplantae; Streptophyta; Magnoliopsida; Brassicales; Brassicaceae.